This 370-nucleotide unclassified non-coding RNA is filed under the name uncultured fungus. Its description in RNAcentral is "partial contains 5.8S ribosomal RNA, internal transcribed spacer 2, and large subunit ribosomal RNA". The record is from RNAcentral. Lineage: Eukaryota; Fungi.
AACGCAUAUGGCACCCGAGACCUCGGUCGAGGGUAUGUCUGCCUCAGAGUCGGCGUAAAACAUCCCUCCGGGUAAGCGUGAGAAGCGCUGCCUCGUGGAGGGGAGCUGGCCUUCCCACCCGGUCUUGUUAUUCGACGUAAUGAUUAGACAGUGUGUGGGUCCGCCGAAGGAUAGAAACGAGGGACCGGUGGGUUACCGACCACUGGGCUACCACGAUUUGGUGGGAGGGAAGGGGACCUCGUAGUCCCCGGUCCGCAACAUCGUCGUGGGCCCUUGGGAGGUUCCGCGUGGGUCUUCCUCGCCUUACAGGAAAAAAAUCAUCAGCGAAAGCUUCGACCUGAGUUCAGGCAAGAUCACCCGCUGAACUUAA